GAUGAACGCUGGCGGCGUGCCUAAUACAUGCAAGUCGAGCGAACAGACGAGGAGCUUGCUCCUCUGACGUUAGCGGCGGACGGGUGAGUAACACGUGGAUAACCUACCUAUAAGACUGGGAUAACUUCGGGACACCGGAGCUAAUACCGGAUAAUAUAUUGAACCGCAUGGUUCAAUAGUGAAAGACGGUUUUGCUGUCACUUAUAGAUGGAUCCGCGCCGCAUUAGCUAGUUGGUAAGGUAACGGCUUACCAAGGCGACGAUGCGUAGCCGACCUGAGAGGGUGAUCGGCGCCACUGGAACUGAGACACGGUCCAUACUCCUACGGGAGGCAGCAGUAGGGAAUCUUCCGCAAUGGGCGAAAGCCUGACGGAGCAACGCCGCGUGAGUGAUGAAGGUCUUCGGAUCGUAAAACUCUGUUAUGAGGGAAGAACAAAUGUGUAAGGAACUAUGCACGUCGUGACGGUACCUAAUCAGAAAGCCACGGCUAACUACGUG
RNAcentral lists this ribosomal RNA (497 nucleotides) under uncultured bacterium. RNAcentral's name for it is "partial 16S ribosomal RNA". It matches the Rfam family "Bacterial small subunit ribosomal RNA", at positions 28 to 507 of the family's 1533-position model. The record is from RNAcentral.